CGACAACGGGGCGCUACUCAGGCAACCUGGGGGACUCCCCCAAGGGCUGUCAGGCUUCAGCUGGGAGCCGAUGCAACACCCCAGUGGGGAGGGGAGGUCGGCCAAUUCUAAUCCCGACGUGUCCUUGGUCCCAGGCGCUCGGAGCAGCAUCUGAGAGGGCUCACUCUGAUCAGCAGCUGCACGUUAAGCCGCAAACCGGCGUCGCUUCGGCGUUCCGGAACCCAGGCCUGGGGGCCGCGGGGAUUGCCUCUGCGUGCAACUCCGGAAAGUUUCAAGGGGUCCCCCGACUGCACAGGUCCGGAAAUCGGCUUUGAUAUGGAACUACUCCGCUCUAGCCUGGAAAGGAGACCCGCGCACUCCUCUCGCAGCUAAUUUCGGAUCAUUAAUUUAAUCGGAAAUGAGGUAACCAGUGUAGGAGACAGAGAAAGCAACCGGAGCAUCAAAUGGCAGUUCUCGAGAAUCGACGAGGAACUUAAAUCUGGACUCAGGGUUUCAGUGCGGUCUCCGACUCCCACCACCCCGCCCCUCCGCCUGUCUCGCCGCCAGGUGUGACCUCCACGCGAAGGAAUCUUCUUCGGAUGGGUGCACCUUGCCAACAGGUGUGGCACCUGGAGGACUAGGAGGCGCCUCCAGACUAAGGGCGCUCAGUGCGGCGUUCUUGUUGCAGAUGAUUCUGGAAGGCCGGUAGGUGUCGGGCGACAUUUGACCUUCUUCAGGUGCGUAGAACUAAGUGUCUGGAAACAUGAUCCCUUCGCGUAAGUUUCUUUCUGAAAGCCACCAAUCUUGACCGUAAGCUGUAUUUGAGAGAUCUUUUGGCUGAGUUUACUUAUGACCUAACGGUUAGUCACCAACUGAGGCAGGGCACAGGAUGACCAAAAAAAAAGUGUCAGUUUUUACACAACUCUGGCCUGCAAGAGCCUACGUGCUUCAUAAAUAAAAAUAAACAUACGAGCGAGGAAGGUGCAGAGCCCCGGAGAUAUUUUUUUCUCACAUUUUUGAAAUACCAUGCACAUAUAUGUGGC
Molecule: long non-coding RNA, 1022 nt
Filed under: Pan troglodytes (chimpanzee)
Lineage: Eukaryota; Metazoa; Chordata; Mammalia; Primates; Hominidae
Description: long non-coding RNA NONPTRT014524
Source: RNAcentral